GUAGGGAAUAUUGGGCAAUGGAUGCAAGUCUGACCCAGCCAUCCCGCGUGCCGGAAGAAGGCCCUCAGGGUUGUAAACGGCUUUUGACGGUGAAGAACCGACAGGAUGCGUCCUGUUUUGACGGUAGCCGUUGAAUAAGCACCGGCUAACUCCGCGCCAGCAGCCGCGGUAAUACGGAGGGUGCGAGCGUUGUCCGGAUUUAUUGGGUUUAAAGGGUGCGUAGGCUGGAAGGUCAGUCAGCGGUGAAAAGCUAUCGCUUAACGAUAGUCUUGCCGCAGAUACUUCCUUUCUUGGAUGAGGAGGAGGCCACUGGAACGGAUGGUGUAGCGGUGAAAUGCAUAGAUAUCAUCCAGAACACCGAUUGCGAAGGCAGGUGGCUGUACCUUAAUCGACGCUGAUGCACGAAAGCAUGGGGAGCAAACAGGAUUAGAAACCCGUGUAGUCC
This 445-nucleotide ribosomal RNA is filed under the name uncultured bacterium. Its description in RNAcentral is "partial 16S ribosomal RNA". It matches the Rfam family "Bacterial small subunit ribosomal RNA", at positions 354 to 796 of the family's 1533-position model. The record is from RNAcentral.